This 185-nucleotide non-coding RNA is filed under the name Aliidiomarina soli. RNAcentral's name for it is "6S / SsrS RNA". It matches the Rfam family "6S / SsrS RNA". Rfam says of the family: E. coli 6S RNA was the first non coding RNA to be sequenced, but its function was unknown until recently. It consists of 184 nucleotides that fold into an extended hairpin structure with a large single-stranded internal bulge. Lineage: Bacteria; Pseudomonadati; Pseudomonadota; Gammaproteobacteria; Alteromonadales; Idiomarinaceae. The record is from Rfam by way of RNAcentral.
UGCUCCCUGGGGUGUUAGCCAGUUGGUGAAUGUCCCUGAGCCGAUGUUUUCAGUUAAGGGUCCUGCUUGGUGGUCAGUGCGCAAGCCCGGCAUGUACCGGGAAGCCUGCGACCAUUCAAUUCAGCACCCGCCUUGAGCCAGUGGGUUCAAGGGCUACCACGCAGCAGCGGCAUCUUGGGGAGCAC